UUUUUCUAGUAUGAUCACUAGUAUAUGAGUCAGUCAGCCAAAGCUCAUCACUUCAUCACAUCGUCAUGCUCAGCAAGAAAGAAGGUGGUAAUGAUCUUAAAACAUUGAGAAGUUCACGUUCUAUAUGAAUGUACUGAUGCUUACAUUCAAGUUUUAUGCUUUAUUGAUUGAUUAGAUAUCUCAAUGAACUUAGAUGCGUUAAGAAUGCAUGAUCACUGUUACGAGAAGAACAAUAGAAGCUAGAAACUCAGUUAUAUUUCACUAUAGCCAUGGUGAAGAGCUAAAAAAAAAA
This 292-nucleotide long non-coding RNA is filed under the name Salvia miltiorrhiza (redroot sage). RNAcentral's name for it is "long non-coding RNA (SMIL_LNC002642)". Lineage: Eukaryota; Viridiplantae; Streptophyta; Magnoliopsida; Lamiales; Lamiaceae. The record is from RNAcentral.